Molecule: ribosomal RNA, 494 nt
Filed under: Pseudotrochalus sp. 836013
Lineage: Eukaryota; Metazoa; Arthropoda; Insecta; Coleoptera; Scarabaeidae
Description: partial 16S large subunit ribosomal RNA
Rfam family: Bacterial large subunit ribosomal RNA
Source: RNAcentral
UAUAAGGUCUAAUCUGCCCAAUGAGGAAUUAAAUGGCCGCGGUACUUUGACCGUGCAAAGGUAGCAUAAUAAUUAGUUUUUUAAUUGAAAGCUGGAAUGAACGAUUUGACGAGAAAAUUUCUGUCUCAAUUUAAUUUAAUUAGAAUUUUAUUUUUAAGUAAGAAAGCUUAAAUUUUUUUAAAAGACGAGAAGACCCUAUAGAGUUUUAUAUUAUACUUUAUGUUAAUUUUUUAGAAUUGUCAUAUUAACUUAUUUUAUUAUAUUUUAUUGGGGCGAUAGAAAAAUUUAAUUAACUUUUUUUAGGUUUUUACAUUAAUUUAUGUUUAAUUGAUCCAUUUUUUAUGAUUAUAAGAUUAAAUUACCUUAGGGAUAACAGCGUAAUUUUUUUUAGAGUUCUUAUCGAAUGAAGAGAUUGCGACCUCGAUGUUGGAUUAAAAUUAAUGUUUGGUGUAGGGGCUAAAUAAUUGGGUCUGUUCGACCUUUAAAAUUUUACA